Molecule: unclassified non-coding RNA, 1484 nt
Organism: Rhipicephalus microplus (southern cattle tick)
Lineage: Eukaryota; Metazoa; Arthropoda; Arachnida; Ixodida; Ixodidae
Source: RefSeq, a predicted model, not a curated record
GCCAAGGAAGCGACCAACACGCGUUCGGCGAGCGCGCAUUGUAGUGAAUGUUAUCGUGUUGUUUUCGUUAUGUUCUCUCUUUUGUAAUUUCCAUGUUCUGUUUCUCCUGAAAUCUAGUCUGGAAUCAUCAAGUUUAAAUGUGCGUUUAGCAGUGUUCAGUAGGUAACCAAGCCUAGAUUUUGCUGUGGCACAAUAACUUGCCUGGCGUAAAAUGCCAAACUCAGGAGUCGCAGCUCUGAUAUGUGCAUUUGCAUUGUUCCUCAUCGUCAACUUUUCUCUGCACAAAAUUGACGAAGGUCAUGUUGGGGUUUAUUACCGGGGAGGCGCACUGCUUAAGCAAACUAGCCAUCCAGGAUUUCAUAUGAUGAUCCCGUUCAUUACCACUUAUCGAUCAAUUCAGGUAACUCUCCAAACAGAUGAAGUUAAAAAUGUGCCCUGCGGGACCAGUGGUGGGGUCAUGAUCUACUUCGACAGAAUUGAGGUUGUGAACAUCCUAAGCCCUGACAGUGUCUACGACAUGGUGAAGAACUACACUGCCGACUACGACAAGACACUGAUCUUUAAUAAGGUUCAUCAUGAACUAAAUCAGUUCUGCAGUGUCCACAACCUCCAGGAAGUCUACAUAAACUUGUUUGACCAGAUUGAUGAGAACUUGAAGACUGCCCUGCAGAGAGACCUCAAUGUGAUGGCACCUGGCCUAUUUGUGCAAGCAGUGCGAGUGACCAAGCCGAAAAUUCCCGAAACAAUCAGACGUAACUAUGAAAUGAUGGAAGCUGAAAAGACGAAGUUGCUUAUCGCAGAACAGAGACAGAAGGUUGUGGAGAAAGAUGCCGAAACUGACAGGAAAAAGGCCAUUAUUGAUGCUGAGAAAGUUGCUCAAGUGGCUAAGAUCCAAUACACUCAGAAGAUCUUGGAGCAGGAAUCCCUGAAAAAGAUGUCUCGUAUUGAAGAUGAAAUGCAUUAUUCUAGGCAAAAGAUGAAAGCAGAUGGAGAGUUCUACUCAAAGGAGAGACUUGCAGAGGCAAAUAGGUUGUUAUUAACCCCAGAGUAUUUGGAACUCAAACGCUAUGAAGCAAUUUCUUCUAACAACAAGAUCUAUUUUGGCAAAGACAUUCCAAGUAUGUUCAUCAAUCAUUGCUCACGGCAAUCUGAAGAUGAUGGUACUGCCUUGGAUAGCAUCACUGCAUCUCUGGCAGGCAAAGGAGCCAAGGGUACUGAACAGGCUACAAAUGCAAAGUCAAUGAAGAAACUAGUGCCUGAUUAAGGGUACUGAACAGGCUACAAAUGCGAUGAAUAAACUAGUGUCUGAUCAAGAUAGCACUGCUGCAAAGUUCUACAAGCAAGGCUACUGAUUGCCAUUGCUUUCUGUUUGUCAGUGCUCAAGGGAGGACCAUGAUGGAUUCAUUGGGAUGCUUCAAUGGACCUGUGUGUUUACAUUGUUUCUAUCAUGUUAAUAAAUGAUUGCUAUAUUUGUACUUUGGUAA